Cinara cedri is the source of this 336-nucleotide non-coding RNA. Lineage: Eukaryota; Metazoa; Arthropoda; Insecta; Hemiptera; Aphididae. The record is from the annotation of a GenBank genome assembly.
AACAUAGUACUUCGUAUAUUUACACACAGAAGGCAUAAUCCGUUAUAUUCGCGAUUAAAGACAGUAUAUCUUGGUUGUAUAAUAUUUAUAACCGUCGACCACGGUUAAAGUUUAUGGUUUAUUUUUGUAUUACUGAUAACGAGGAAGUUGUUGUUAAUUUAUUUUGAGACGAACAAGAUUUAUUUGUGUUGAAAUUCCAAAUGAGUGUCUCCAAUUAGUGUCUAGGGCGUCUUUAAUUCCGCUGGUAAUUUUCGAUCUUAUUACCCCGUUUACAUUCAGCCCACUUCCGUGGCAGUAAGCAUUGAAGUGACCGUGGGAGUGGGCAGCGCGAGUAUG